AACGAACGCUGGCGGCAAGCCUAACACAUGCAAGUCGAACGAGAUCUUCGGGUCUAGUGGCGCACGGGUGCGUAACGCGUGGGAAUCUGCCCUUUGGUUCGGAAUAACAGUUGGAAACGACUGCAAAUACCGGAUGAUGACGAAAGUCCAAAGAUUUAUCGCCAGAGGAUGAGCCCGCGUAGGAUUAGCUAGUUGGUGUGGUAAAGGCGCACCAAGGCGACGAUCCUUAGCUGGUCUGAGAGGAUGAUCAGCCACACUGGGACUGAGACACGGCCCAGACUCCUACGGGAGGCAGCAGUGGGGAAUAUUGGACAAUGGGCGGAAGCCUGAUCCAGCAAUGCCGCGUGAGUGAUGAAGGCCUUAGGGUUGUAAAGCUCUUUUACCCGGGAUGAUAAUGACAGUACCGGGAGAAUAAGCUCCGGCUAACUCCGUGCCAGCCGCCGCAGUAA
This 449-nucleotide ribosomal RNA is filed under the name uncultured bacterium. RNAcentral describes it as "partial 16S ribosomal RNA". It matches the Rfam family "Bacterial small subunit ribosomal RNA", at positions 29 to 523 of the family's 1533-position model. The record is from RNAcentral.